CAAAACAAUUUAAACUUCAUUAAGCGAGUCUUACUUUCUCAUUUCCAAAGCAACAGCACCACCCUGUGUUCACUUCAGGAAUGGCAGGGCAUUCUCUGACGAUCGCCAAAGUCAUGCUUUUCAAAUAUUACUUCAAGAUGUUAAAUAGCUUCUUUCAUUGUUCAAAUACAAAAAAAAAUAAA
Hippocampus zosterae (dwarf seahorse) is the source of this 182-nucleotide long non-coding RNA. RefSeq lists it as uncharacterized. The record is from RefSeq and is a predicted model, not a curated record. The transcript has 2 exons. NCBI's taxonomy places the organism in Eukaryota, Metazoa, Chordata, Actinopteri, Syngnathiformes, Syngnathidae.